Molecule: ribosomal RNA, 460 nt
Filed under: uncultured bacterium
Lineage: Bacteria
Description: partial 16S ribosomal RNA
Rfam family: Bacterial small subunit ribosomal RNA
Source: RNAcentral
CCUACGGGAGGCAGCAGUGAGGAAUAUUGGUCAAUGGACGAGAGCCUGAACCAGCCAAGUAGCGUGAAGGAUGACUGCCCUAUGGGUUGUAAACUUCUUUUAUAUGGGAAUAAAAUGUUCCACGUGUGGGAUUUUGUAUGUACCAUAUGAAUAAGGAUCGGCUAACGCCGUGCCAGCAGCCGCGGUAAUACGGAGGAUCCGAGCGUUAUCCGGAUUUAUUGGGUGUAAAGGGAGCGGAGGUGGUUUGUUAAGUCAGUUGUGAAAGUUUGGGGCUCAACCGUCAAAUUGCAGUUGAAACUGGCAGUCUUGAGUACAGUAGAGGUGGGCGGAAUUCGUGGUGUAGCGGUGAAAUGCUUAGAUAUCACGAAGAACACCGGUGGCGAAGGCGGUUCACUGGACUGCAACUGACGCUGAGGCUCGAAAGUGUGGGGAGCAAACAGGAUUAGAUACCCCUGUAGUC